CAAUAAGCGGAGGAAAAGAAACUAACAAGGAUUCCCCUAGUAACUGCGAGUGAAGCGGGAUGAGCUCAAAUUUAAAAUCUGGCGUCUUCGGCGUCCGAGUUGUAAUUUAGAGAAGCGUUUUCCGCGCCGGACCGUGUACAAGUCUCCUGGAACGGAGCGUCAUAGAGGGUGAGAAUCCCGUCUUUGACACGGACCCCCGGUGCUCUGUGAUACGCUCUCGAAGAGUCGAGUUGUUUGGGAAUGCAGCUCAAAAUGGGUGGUGAACUCCAUCUAAAGCUAAAUAUUGGCGAGAGACCGAUAGCGAACAAGUACCGUGAGGGAAAGAUGAAAAGCACUUUGGAAAGAGAGUGAAACAGUACGUGAAAUUGUUGAAAGGGAAACGCUUGAAGUCAGUCGCGUCCGCCAGGAUUCAGCCUCACGGUGUACUUUCUGGUGGACGGGCCAGCAUCACUUUCAAUCAUCGGACAAGGUCGAGAGGAAUGUGGCACCUUCGGGUGUGUUAUAGCCUCUUGUCGUAUACGGUGACUGGGAGUGAGGACCGCCUUUGUAGGAUGCUGGCGUAAUGGCUUUAAACGACCCGUCUUGAAACACGGACCAAGGAGUCUAACAUGCCCGCGAGUGUUUGGGUGGAAAACCCAUGCGCGUAAUGAAAGUGAAAGUUGGGAAGGCUGUCGCGGCCUGCACCGACGCCCGGACUCGAGAUUUAUCUAAGGUUCUGCGGUAGAGCGUGUAUGUUGGGACCCGAAAGAUGGUGAACUAUGCCUGAAUAGGGUGAAGCCAGAGGAAACUCUGGUGGAGGCUCGUAGCGAUUCUGACGUGCAAAUCGAUCGUCAAAUUUGGGUAUAGGG
RNAcentral lists this ribosomal RNA (848 nucleotides) under Peniophora cinerea. RNAcentral describes it as "partial large subunit ribosomal RNA". It matches the Rfam family "Eukaryotic large subunit ribosomal RNA", at positions 44 to 922 of the family's 3401-position model. The record is from RNAcentral. Lineage: Eukaryota; Fungi; Basidiomycota; Agaricomycetes; Russulales; Peniophoraceae.